This 236-nucleotide ribosomal RNA is filed under the name Escherichia coli. RNAcentral's name for it is "partial 16S ribosomal RNA". It matches the Rfam family "Bacterial small subunit ribosomal RNA", at positions 1308 to 1533 of the family's 1533-position model. RNAcentral also lists the same sequence under 2 other names. Lineage: Bacteria; Pseudomonadati; Pseudomonadota; Gammaproteobacteria; Enterobacterales; Enterobacteriaceae. The record is from RNAcentral.
CAACUCGACUCCAUGAAGUCGGAAUCGCUAGUAAUCGUGGAUCAGAAUGCCACGGUGAAUACGUUCCCGGGCCUUGUACACACCGCCCGUCACACCAUGGGAGUGGGUUGCAAAAGAAGUAGGUAGCUUAACCUUCGGGAGGGCGCUUACCACUUUGUGAUUCAUGACUGGGGUGAAGUCGUAACAAGGUAACCGUAGGGGAACCUGCGGUUGGAUCACCUCCUUACCUUAAAGAA